CUUCAUGAGUAGCUAUGUAUGCAUAAGGAGGUUGAUUUUUCGAUGGACUGCUAGAGAAACUGAAAGUGGACCAAUGCAAGGUGUAUUUGAAGAAGAAUGGUCUAAGGUUAACUGGAAAUAAGGACACGCUUAUCCAGCAUAUAAAGGAGCAUCAGGAGAUUAUAAAUGGUGGAGGGGAGAAAAAAUACCUGCCUCAUAGCUUUGCUUUGAACUGUAAAGGUGA
Long non-coding RNA from Vicia villosa (hairy vetch), 223 nucleotides. RefSeq lists it as uncharacterized. The transcript is spliced from 3 exons. Lineage: Eukaryota; Viridiplantae; Streptophyta; Magnoliopsida; Fabales; Fabaceae. The record is from RefSeq and is a predicted model, not a curated record.